This 253-nucleotide ribosomal RNA is filed under the name uncultured bacterium. RNAcentral describes it as "partial 16S ribosomal RNA". It matches the Rfam family "Bacterial small subunit ribosomal RNA", at positions 524 to 776 of the family's 1533-position model. The record is from RNAcentral.
UACGUAGGGGGCAAGCGUUGUCCGGAGUCAUUGGGCGUAAAGCGCGUGUAGGCGGCCAGAAAAGUCCGCUGUGAAAACUCGAGGCUCAACUUCGAGCUGUCGGUGGAAACUUUCUGGCUAGAGUCCGGAAGAGGAGAAUGGAAUUCCUGGUGUAGCGGUGAAAUGCGCAGAUAUCAGGAAGAACACCCGUGGCGAAGGCGGUUCUCUGGGACGGUACUGACGCUGAGACGCGAAAGCGUGGGGAGCGAACAGG